Molecule: ribosomal RNA, 253 nt
Filed under: uncultured bacterium
Lineage: Bacteria
Description: partial 16S ribosomal RNA
Rfam family: Bacterial small subunit ribosomal RNA
Source: RNAcentral
UACGAAGGGGGCUAGCGUUGUUCGGAAUUACUGGGCGUAAAGCGCACGUAGGCGGGUCGUUAAGUCAGGGGUGAAAUCCCGGAGCUCAACUCCGGAACUGCCUUUGAUACUGGCGAUCUAGAGGUCGAGAGAGGUGAGUGGAAUUCCGAGUGUAGAGGUGAAAUUCGUAGAUAUUCGCAAGAACACCAGUGGCGAAGGCGGCUCACUGGUCCGGUACUGACGCUGAGGUGCGAAAGCGUGGGGAGCAAACAGG